ACUGUUAGUGGUGGAUCACUCGGCUCACUGGU
This 32-nucleotide ribosomal RNA is filed under the name Schwiebea lebruni. Its description in RNAcentral is "partial 5.8S ribosomal RNA". RNAcentral also lists the same sequence under 6 other names. Lineage: Eukaryota; Metazoa; Arthropoda; Arachnida; Sarcoptiformes; Acaridae. The record is from RNAcentral.